UCAGGGGGAUUACCUGAACAAAAGUGACAAUGCAAGACUGAGUAUACUGAUACUCAGCAAGGCUUACCCGUUCAUGGUAUACUUAGCCAUGUAGCUAGACUUAUGAUGACUUUACUGGUUACGGGUAAAUUUUUCAGCUGAAAAGAAACAAAGAGUGGAUCCUUAAUUUCAAAUUUUAGCUUUCCAGUUCUACGUAAUUAAUUAUUCUAGAUAAGCACCUAUAACUAUAAAAGCAUGGUAAGAAGUAUUUCAUUUUUUUACCGAUUUUUCGUUACUCCAUUUGUGUGCCUGGGAUGCGGAUCCCCACCCCACCACGUGUUCUGAAGGGAGUUCAAGACGAACCCCUUGAAUUCUCUAUGGGGUUUAUCCGCUCUAAAAUUUCUUUUGCUAAGUAUCAAAACAAGUUUGAUUUUUUGCCGAAGUAUCCAAACAAGACCUCACGAAUCUGCUUAUGUACACAAUAAUGUGGGUAUAUCUAUUUCUUUGUUCUCAUAGUCUGGCAUAUGUACUGUAGAUAAACCUGUUCCAAUGGCCAAACAAAAAGAGGGUGUGGACAAGGGAACUGCUAGGAGGAUGAUCCGGUCUACGGAAGGCUGUGCGAAGAGCAUUACUUUCAAGAGGAACAACAAAUCAGACGCCGUGCAGCUUCACGAUCUGCCGACUGUAAGAGUAAUUCCAAAUAGUUCAAUCCUCCUUUCGCAGUAAGCAUAUAUGUCAAAUAAUUCAAAAGAGCUUGCUAGGACCAGUUAAUCAGUGGUUCAGUUUACUCGGCUGCUUACUCACGCCACUUACUAUGUGCAGGACAUCCUAGGUAGCAUACUAUCACGGUUGACAUUCAGAGAAUCCUCAGGGAUGGGCCUUGUUUCUCAUAUCUGGCGGCGGCUGUGGAGAAGCUGCUGUUGGAAACUGGUCUUCACCAGGGCUACAAUGUUCCAACCCAGAAAUAAGAGCAUCAAACGUACAAGGACCAACUUUGCCAUGAGAGUCGACAGUUUCUUGCGGCAGCUACACACUCAUUCUCCUCUUGAUAAGUUUGUUAUUAAGUUCGGGCUGCGCAGGAAGCACACUUGCCAUGUCAACAGAUGGAUUCGCUUCUGCUCUGCGUCGCGAGCAAGGCACAUCACUAUUGAUUUCACUCCUGGAGUGAAAGGUUUUGCCAUGGGUCUAGCCAACAGCAAGUACAUCUUCCCCCUGAACGUUUUUAGUGGUCCAGACGGCUCCUCUACACAUGUCAGAUUUCUUCAUCUGGGCUAUGUCUGUCUGGACACAACCUCCUCUGGUUUCAUGGCUUUUGCAAAUCUUAAGAAGCUCACUCUGCACAAAAUUUCCUUUUUGGGAGGCCUCCAGUGCCUGAUGCUGCCAGAAUUCAAUUCUCUUGAGUGGCUGAGCAUCAGCUACUGUUCCUUGCCCGGUUUAAGCACAUGCCAGCCGCUGCAACGCCUGCGAUGUGUUCGUUUGCACUACUGCUAUCUGAAAAAGAUUGAGCUGGAAGCUCCAAAUCUAACAUCGUUUGACUUGACCAACCCACCAAUUCCAUUUGUGCUUGGUGCAUCUCUGAAGGUAAUGGAAGCCAACAUUAAACUGCUCUCUUAUGAUGAUAAUCUGGACUACAUUUACACUGAGCUUCCUGCUGCACUGUCUCAUGUGCAUAAACUCUCCAUAACCUCGCCUCUCUGCAUUUUUGAUGAGGUUUGUCUGUUUCUGAAAGUACUUAAGUUCAUUCAACUAUUACUGACCUUUAUUUGCACCUGACAUGUUUGUUCCUCAUCUCAUACAUAUUUUGACUCUCAUGGUUAUAUUUCAGCUGCAAGGGUUUGCCAAAAUCUCAGCCAGAUUCAUCAAUCUGAGGCAUCUGACCAUGUAUUUGCCUCUUUACGGGGACCUUGAGUCAAUUGACGGGAUUCUUCGCUUGGCCUACCUCCUGGAGUUGGCCCCAGCUCUAGAAGAAUUGGAAUUGCAUGUGAGUGGCUUACUAACUCUAUAAUCUCUUAUACAUUUUCUCAAGGUAUGCUGUAUCUGUAGAUAUUUUUGUAGAGGGAUUGCAGCACUAGUGUACCAGGCAUAUUGUUUAUCAUCUUUGCUAAUUUUGAAUUGCCUGAAUAUUUAUUAUCCCUCAUUAUCUAAAACUACAUAGUUUAAAAUUGCAGUAACAUAAAAGUUGUCUGAAUAGUUAAAAAAGAUUAAAAAAGACAAAAAAAGGAGCAAUGUUGCAAUCAAUUGAACAUCGGAUACUAUCAUACUUCAUUACUAUACGAGCCAAGGUGCCCAUGUGUUGCUAGUUUGCUACAAGGUCUCGAAUACUUGAUAGUUUAAAAUUGCAGUACCAUAAAAAAUUUUGAGUGUUGAUGUUAUAAUUAAAAAGGAUAAAAACACACACAAAAAGUAGCAAAGUCACAAUCAAUUGAAAAAAGGACACUACCAUACUUUAUUACCUUACGAGUUGAGGUGCCUAUGCGUUGCUCUGAGAUCUUUGAAUACAUGACUUUUAAAUUUAAAAGCAAUGAUGCUUGUUUUACGAGCAGGAUGUAAGUAUGUCAUAAUGAGAUUCAGCUCUACAGUAAUAUUAGUCAAGAAUACAUGUACGCACACACGAUUAAUACCAACUAAACUGCCUAAACAUUUUGUUUUACAAAAGCAGCACUAAUUGACAAUAUGGAAAGACUACGCGCAAGCCAUGCUUCUCUUUUGAUCAUGUCUAGAGAAUUCCCUCAGAGUUGAUCUGACCACCCAACCAACAUUAUGCAUCUAGAAUAAUGUUGCCAUUUUUUGUAGUGAACAAUUAGGCCUUGAGCAUUGCGACAAGAAGCCUAACUAUCCCUCUUUGACAGUCAGAAAAGUGUUAUACCUCGAAGACUAUUUAUAAUUUUUAAAGCUGAUGCCAAGAAAACAAUGGUGUGGUUGAGGUCAUAAUAAACACAUAUUGGUGAGCUCGCAGAUAAAACAAUUUUCAUAACAUUCACCGGUGAUGUAGACAAAAAACACAAGGAACAACGAACAACGAUGUAUGGGCCUGUGUCAUUGGGCUGGCUGGUUAAGCAUGUGCCCAACAGUCAUUUGCUGGCAUGUGGCCAAAAUUGAAUAGGUGAGGGGAGUAAAAUGGACUUUUCCCCUUUAAAAAAUUGAACUUCUAGCCUUUUAGUGUACCGUUGCCGCUCUUCUUUCUUCUAUUAUAUACUGCUGUUCCAUUGGUUUUCAUGCUCUCCUCCUAUUCCUCUGUUCCUUUGUUUAUGUCUCCUGCUGCGAAAUCAAUGUGGGUGCUGUGAGAGGAUGGCUCGGGGAGGCGUUGGAGUGUGGUAGGAGGGCCGCGGUGUGGUUGCAUGGGAGAGGCCAAGGAGGGGCGCUCGCCGCUGCGAGGCAGUACAGUGUGGCGGUCCCACCUGUCAGCACAGCUGUGGUAGAACAUACCACCACCACUGUCACUUUUUAAGUAGUGUAUGAUUAUUUGGGUAAUACAAUACAGUUUUAUCCAUUUUUGAAGCCAAUUGGAUUUUUUAUUGGCAAUGAUGUUCUAUAUGUGAAAUGUAAACUGUAAAGUAGCCCAAAAUUUCUUGAAGGCACUAUGUCCAAAUCUAACCUUUGAAUGUUCCUUCCUUUUCAAAUAUAAUGUCCAACAAGAUAAUGGCCAUAAGUAGUACUUUCAUAUGGAUGUCAAUUGGUAUUGUCCCUUUUAUGUCAGAAAACCUAUAUAAUGUUAAACUUAUUGUUUUUAAUCUCAAAGUUUAUGACGGCUUCCAAAUGUCAGUAGUAUCCAGUGAGAACUUAUAAUAUAUCCAUGACAAUCACAAAAAUUUCUAUGCUUAAGCUACGGCUGUGUGCCUUUAUUUUGGAUUGGGAAACUAUAGGAUUGUUGAGUGGUUUGAUGCUCUCAGCUUCAUGAUCGGAAUGGAUUUUUUUUAAGAAAACAGAGGUAAUCUGUUGACCAAGCUUAUUGUGAUGUUAGAGUUACAUUGCCAAAGGACACUAGGACUAGGAUAGCAUGUGUUUCAAAGACAAUGCUUCGUUAAACCUUUUAAGUACGGUUUAUCCCAUGUUUCUUGUUUUCAUAGGCCUGUUCUUGUUGCUCAUUGAGCUACCACUUCCCAUAUGUAUGAUGUGAUUCUAAACGUGUAGUUUUGUGUUUGCUUCAUUUCCCCUUGUUUAUUAUUUUGUUCCCACAUUCAUUAUGAAAAAUUGAUAUGAUGGAUCUCUAAAGAGUCCGGUAUCUUUGCAUGCAGGCGAACGGCGGUGAUGUGUCUGUUGGAUGGGCACUCAGACGGAAUAUGUUACCAUACCCACACAAUAAGCUCAAGAGGGUCCUUAUUUCAGGAGCCUUUGAAUGGGAGGGGCUAAUGGAGCUGGCAUACUACAUUCUUCGGAGUGCCAAUAGACUCGAAUGUAUGAUCCUAGAUCCAAUGAGAAGAAUUGGGGGUCCUCCGCUGGAUGGGUGGAUGGUUGAUAAAGGUUGGGAGAUGAUCAAAGAGUUUUUUGAGGGAGAGGAGUUUCGAAGCAUUCUUACUAUUCUGUAAGAAUGGUAAGAUAGACACAAGAUUUUAGUGGUCACAGUAAGUGGCCACGCUUGAUAUGCCAUAGGUUAGACCAGUAUGGUCAUAAAUGUUUACUGUUUUCAUUUUCGACCUCAAAAAUGGUACACGAAAUGUAAAUUUGACCAUUAGCUUCUGUUGUAAUAUAUUUUAGAAAUCCAAUAGAGCAAUACUGCUACGUACAAGUACUUUUCAAGUCAAAUCGAGAGCACAUUACAACUUCAUAUCAACCUUAACAUUUAAAAAGACAUUGCUGAUAAAACUUUUAGAACUUCUAUUACAUGUUUGUCCCAACCCAACGGCAUGAAUAUUGAGUAGCUAGACUUGUCUAAAUGAGUUUAACUAGGAGUGAGGAAAAGUAUAAAGGGUUUGUGUCUGAGAUCUCUUAGUUCUUUUCAUAGACCUUACCGUUCUCCCUUGUUUUGUGUCUGAGAUCUCUUAGUUCUUUUCAAAGGGGUAUUGUCGCCAUUGCAAUCCUUUUGAGUGAGAAUAAGUUCAGAAUUGAGUUAAAAGUUCUGAAGAUGGGUUCAUUAGAAGUUGUAUAGAUGAGGCUUUUAAACAGCCAUCCAGGAUGUGAGAGACCUACUUGGCGCAGCAGAUAAAUUACCAAAUGGUGCUGUUGAGGUGUAUCCUGUACCUAGAGAUGCCUCAGUUGACAUGUUACCUCCAGCUGAGGGAACAGAUGUGCCAGCUCCUUCCAAAUUUGAAGAUUCAUCAACGCCAGAUGUCAAUGAAGAUGGCAUUGAGAAAGACACAAAUUUGGAAGAGGGCAAUACAGAAAGUCUGACAAUGUCUGCACAAUUUUCUGCUUUUGGUAAAGAUAACUCAGACUACACUGAAGUUGCUGCUCAUUAGGAUGAUGGCUCGAUAGAGAACAGAUGUCUUUCAGUCCAAUGGCCUUUCAUAUGAGCAUAACCAAAGUAAGUCAAAAUGAAGCUCAUUUCAGUUAUCUGUAUUUGUGCAUGUGGUUGGUCAGCUUCUAUUAUUCUGAAGACUAUUUGGUAAAUUAUUAAGUUGGAAGAUAGCUUAUUUUAUUUAUGUGAAUGAUUUUCUUUCCCUAUGGUUAUCACACCCCCAUUUGGCCACCAUGAUGCUCAGUUACUUGAAAUUUCUUUCUAGAUUUCUCCGUUCGUCUCUGUACGUGUAUUUAUAUAUUGCAUUGUUGCAUGCCAUAAUACCCAAUUACACAUUAAUUACUGACCUUCUGUUUUACAUCUGCGUGCUAAAAUACCAGUGACUGUGGUCUGUGGAUCUCUUGGAACUGUCUUUCUAGUACUUAACCUUUUGCUGUUGCUCAUCAAGUUUCUCAUUUUGUAUUAUCAUUUGCCGCUUUGAUGGCAGAUUUCAAUGGAGAUAUGUCUGCCACUACGAAACAAUUUGACCAGUUGACUCUGCACGAGAGACCAAAAUCAUCUGAUGAUAAUCCGACAGUAAUAAUCCCUGAUCAUCUUCAGGUUUCAAAUGCUGACUGCGCACACUUGACAUUUGAUAGUUCUGGAACAAUUGAUGCAUCUUUGACCACAAAACCUCUUGAAUGUCAUGGUGAUGUUGCGACAGUUCCUGAUGACCAAUCAAUGGACCAGACAGAUGUCAGGUAUGUUUUCUAUUUUUUAGUAUUCUUCGCACCCAUUUUAUUGUGUAGCAUUUAUAAGCCCUCUUUUUUUCUUUUCAGAAUCCACGAGGAUGGAAGCAAGGCGACAGCAACUCCAGCUGCUGACGAGUAUGCUGCCUCUGUGACACACAGCAACCUGGAGAAUCUUGAUGUUACAUCGGUACAACAAUCUGAAGUGACAAGAGUCAGUUUCCUGGAUGUCAUAAACAAUACUGGAUAUAACCUAUCAUCAACCUCAGAUUUUGCAGCUUCAAGUGCAGCGCUGCAAGAUUCUGCUUCACACAAUUAUCUUCAGUAAAACCUACAGUUCCAGAAUAUUUCUCCUCUCUCAAGCUUUAUUGUAUGUAUUCAUAUUUUGCAUUGAUAUAGCUCAUUAAAAAAGAGAAGUCUACCUGAUUCUCCUUUUGCAUUUUUUUCCUGAACACGCAGGAGAGAGAGCUGCCUGCCAUUUUAUUAAGAAGAAAAAGCGUACCCAGGUGUACAUAACACACACACAACAACACACCUUCCUAAAAGAAUUCACGCGAUAUUAUUAAUUUAUUGACAAUGCCCGUUUUUCUGUACUAACAACUGUUUUAUUACUCUAUAUCUGCAGCAAAUAUAAAAUGGUCUCCUGCCACCAGCAAUCCGGCCACUGCGCGAAUUUGAUCCAGCGUUCUCACUAUUGCUCACUAACCCUCCUAUGAUGCAUGGUACAACGUCUUUGUCCAUGAACAAUGCUACUGUUUCAACGCAGCCCCAAGAGGUAUGGAUCAUUGAAUCAUGCCACUUCAUCUUCAUCUAUGCUUAGUGAAGCAGCCAUAUAUUUCUUGCCAACUUCGUGCAUUCUAUCUUGUUGGUUUAGGUAACUGCCGUUGCUAGCACUAGUCUGCAAAAGUUAUGAUCUGGAAAAGGGCAGCAUAUAUUCCCCCUUUUUUGGUAGUUGACAAACUAAAUUAUACAAAUGGGGCCCAGAGUUUGCUAAUGCACCUUUUCAUUCUGUUCUAUGUCAAUAGUUCUAUUAUUUGAAUUGGUGGAACAUUUGCAAUUUUUGGCAAAAUAUGAGGAAACAAUGCAUCAGACUUUUUUAUGCUGCUAUCUGAUUGUUUCCUAAUCUUUAAAUUUGUCAUGGUACCUGUAAAUGUGUUAAGAAUUUGUUAUCCAGCGUUGCGUUUGCGUGGAUCACUGGAUAGCAAAAUUUCCCCAAAAUUUUUUUGAGGAUGCAUCUGGGUCCCCGAAAACCGCAUUGAUUCUGCCCUUGGGCAGUCUUAGUCCGACAAUCCCCUUUGACCCAACUCCUGUCUUGGGUGUGGUGGACCACUUGAUAGCAUUCUUUCCCCCAAGAAAAUUUGGUGGUGCAUCUGGAUCCCUGCACCCUCCGCUAAGUCUGCCCUCCCUGGUCAUGCUGUCUUAGUCCGGUUGUCGUCUUUGACCCAGUCGGAAAUGGGGUGUAUCGAGCUACACGAAUAUUUUUUGUUUGGAAGGCUGUACCCAUAAGUAAGACAGAGAGAAUCAUUGUGCCAUUUAGCAAAGGAAGCUGCUUUAGAUAAUAAGCGGUUGAUAUGCUCUCCAAUCUUGCAUUUAGUUUUUCAUAUGAACAAUAUUGGCUUGGAAGGUGCUCUGAGGUGACAAGUGAAUAUAUACUUCAGUUUAAGACACCGUUCAUGAUAUAAUAUUUUCUUAAAAAAAAGCUGGUGUAUCCUUGUGCUUUUUGUACCAUUUACAGAGAAAAAUGAAAAUAUGCUGUCCACAGUUGUUCUUGUUGAGAACUAUGUUUCAUGAUUGAAUUAUCUUUCCUUAAUGUUGACGCAAAAAACGGUGAUCGGCUUGUUAUGUGGCCACACACGAGGAUCUGAAAGAUUUGUCUUUCUCCGGCGCAGGCUCCAGUUAGCUUCGCGUAGGUGCUAGACGUGUAGGUGAUAGACGUGCCAGUCAAUUUGAUAUGUAAUUGAUAUAGACGUGCCAGUCAAAUUGAUAUGUAAUUGAUAAGAAAUAAUGCAAUCAUCAAAUACUAGAACGUAUCGGUUGGAUUCCGAACUGUUCCAAAGAAAUAUCGAGAUGUAAUAAGAAAUCGGCUAAGAAGCAGCCGAUUCUACUAUGAGGUAAUACCAAUUACUCAAUAAUACUUCAUGAACAAUGCUUAGAUUCAGAUCUAAUCGGCUAUGUGCAGUAACUUAAUAAUAAAACAUAACUACAGCUGAUAGAAAAUCUAAGAUCUAAGCUAGAUAAUUUGUGAUAAAAACUAAACUGCACAAGAUUAAAUAAAUAUAUUUGCAAAGUAUAGCAAAUAUCGAUAACUGGUGAGUAAAUAGAUCGAGAAGGAAGCUGAUGCGCCGUCCAUCAAAGACUAAUUUGCUCGAUAAACACAGAACUUACCAGCAAGCUGGAGAUCGAAGCGAUACAGCCCUGCUACCGGAAGAACUCGUCGAAAAGAAAAAAACUACGAAACUAGAGUUUGGUGAAGUCGCCGACAAUGAAGAAAAGAGUUUGUUGUAUUGAUGUGUGAUUAUUCUGAUUACAAGCCCGUAGACUAAUAUUUAUAGUCUAAGCUAACAAACCCUAGUCGAUCACGACACAACAUGACUUGACCAAAAAGAAAACAAUCUUUCUAAAAUAAAUAAUUUGGACUCCAUACGAUAACUUGCUGACGUGGACCAUCGGCAUCAAUUCCGCUCCAUCGGUUGCGACGUCAUCUUGGACAAUCAACCGCCUCUUCUGCUUGAGCAUCGGCCAGUCCCAUUGGCCUCCUCCCUUGCCUUAUCUUUGACCAGACCGCGUUAAAAAAACAGUGUCAACACUUAAUCAUUUAGAUUUCCUGAUGGUCUUUUUCUAUUUUAAUGUAGUAAAGUAUGGUCGCUGAAAUUUCAAACUUCAAUUAAAACAAAGUAUGAACUUGCCUUGGCCAUAUCUGAAUUCUGAAGUAGUAAGAGAGGAGGAUGGAAAGGAGCAAUGGCUUGUUUGAUUAGCUAGUUGCUGCUUCCUAUCAAGCAAGUAAAUUGAUUGAGUGCAUAAGUCAAUUUAGGCUGCAAAGUUGUAGAAACUGAUUCAUGAUUUUUUUUAUUUAUGUCCAUCAAAUUGUCCGCUAUGCCAUAUCAUACAUGUAACACUUACCUGAAACUUAUGUUGUGGAUGGAGUUUUCAAGUGGGUUCUUUGCCUCCUGUUUCAAUAAUGUCGUGAACGAAGCGCGCGUCCUAUCAUUUCAACAAUCAAAUAUAAGUAUUAGACAACUAAAUUUACUCAAGUCAAUGAAAGGUAGCAAUCGCUUGUUCUAUCUAUUUCAGAUGAUAGAUGCAUUUAUAUGAAAAAUCGAUCACAAAAUCAUAGUAUAUGCUAAAAAACAUCAUCUGUAAUAUUUGUUCUAUCCAUUAGGAGUCUUGUUCGGCAUCUCAAUCAUAAAACACCCGAUAAACAAAUUGUCUAUCAUCAAACAUCCAUUGCCAAAUACAAAGUGGGCAUAUACCUGGACAGCAAGUCACCUACUUGGUGACUGAGUCUCUUGAGGUUCAUGACUCCAGCGUGUUAGGAGCAGCACAGUCUUCCGACCUUCAAUCAUCUGCCCGAUGUUGCCGUUGGCCACCGCCACCGCCACCCACCACGGCCCUGAUGGCGCCCUCGAGAAGUAGAGCAAAAGGGACGAUGGGUGGUGCUAGCUUGAGCGGCGACAGGUGGCACGACGACCUCUUCCUCAGCAUGGCACCCUCCGUUGCCCACAGCGAAUUUGAGUAGCGGUAGAAAUUCGAGUGAUGGGAAAGAGUAGAAAGAGAGAGCAGCCGAGCGAGAGAGAAACGGAGGAGAAGACGAUGGAUGGGAAGAGAUAAGGUGGGGCCUAUCACGUGCCUCCUGACGUGCGGGCCAGCAGCUGCAGCCCCGCUCUUCCAAGGGACUUGUAUUCUCAGCCUCCGCGAUCGAAUGCUAUGCUAUCACAGAGCAUGUUUCCCACCACUAUUGCAUGCACAUCUUAUAUGCUGCAGGAGCAACUAGUGUUUAAAAAAUAUAUAUUGUUUGAAAAUAAAUAACAAUGUUCAACAGAAAAAGUUAUUCCGAAUGUAUUUCAUAAAAAAUAGAAGUUGGUUCGAAAAUAAAAAAUAUUCCAGAACAAGAUAUAAUAUUUUAGAAAAUAAAAUUGUUUUGGAACAAAUAAAAAUAUUUUAGAAAAAAUAUUAUCUAAAUAUAGGCAAGUGUGGUCUAGUUUUAAAGAUCUCAACAGAAAAAUAUUAACCGUGCAAUCGAAAUUUAAUUUGGAUAACUGGUUUGUGAAACAGAGUAUUUUCUUUUUGAUGUAUGCAUUGCACGGAAAUCAAGGCAGGUGAGCUGCAGCAAAUCCCUCUGCCUCCCGCGCUGAUGGACAUGUGUCCAUUUCCACCCGUGAAGCCCGGAGAGGAGAGGAAACCAGCGCAUCUUUUAAUCAAUCACUCCGAUGUAACUUCAUGAGACUAUCAUCUUUUAUCUGUCCUGUCCAACAAGUCUUUCAGCUAUAAAUGAAUAAUCCAAUAGUUUGCAUGUCAGCAACUUUUGAGGGCACGAAUCUAAAUGCUGUUACGCUAUUUGCACCUAAUCGCAUUCAUCACUUGUUAUUUUGUUAAGCUCCUCUUUUGAAUCAUAUUGCUAUUUACAUAAGAUCAAGACACUGUACUCUGUGAAUGUUUGUAGCCCAUUGGAAAUUUGGUUCAAUCAAGAUGCAAAGUUUGCCAGCAGUUCCAUUUUGUGCCCCACAUGGAACACUUGCAACCUGAAGUUCUGAUCCCACCAUUGCCUCCGUUAUAUACCUGUUUCAUAUUUUCAGAUUACCAUAUUCUGCUACCUAUUUUACACUAUGAAUCAGGUAUUAUUAGCUUGAAAGAAACAAUCACCUUUACAUCAUUCUUAUUUUGACAACCUGAUGCUUUGUAGCUACGGACUUACUGUUGGUAUUUUUUUUUCGAUUGACACUGGCCCGACAAAAACCAUGCUUGUCUUUUUCAUUUUGGUACUAUCACAACUUGCUUACACUGAUUCUGCUCUUUUCUCUUGGCAUUAUCAGAAGCGCAGCAUGGCGAAGAUCAAGCCAGAGGCGUUGUUGGCACAAAGCAAAGUGAAGAAGGGCCCUAGCCAAAUCAGUGUGGCCACGAUCUUCACCUACUUGGUCCUCGGCGUCGUAGUCGUGUCCUCCGUUUACGCUGCUUACAAAUACAGGGUAGGCAAAGGACCAGCGAUGACAGCAGCAGGCGUCGAGGGGGAUUAAACCCCAAACUAUGCAACUGAUUUUUGUUGUUGUAUCAUCCAGUUGGAUAAUUUUGGUUGCUGCAGCGCAAUAAAAGGAACAUGGAUAGAUUGUAUCUUGCUACAGUUUUACUGUAGACCGUGGGUACAUUGUAUUGAUAUGUGUCUGCUAAAUCCCUUUCUUGGAUAUGGAUGUCUCUGCUGGAGGCCUGGGACUACCUCUAGUUUGUGAUGGUACUCGGUGCUGGUAUGGGAUCUCUUCUUCGUGGUUGAAGACACAGGAAAGCAGGAUAACCUUACAUGUUCAUGAUGGCAGUGGGAAGAAUUCGGAAUCAUACAUAUACUGUGCACAAAACCGGAAAGAGUGUACUGUGGUGCAAAAGGAGAAUAGUACUACCUCCGUUCGUUUAUAGUUGGCAUACUAGGAUUUGAAAAAAGUUAUACAAAACCACCAAUUUCUCUUGCAAUAUAUCAUCAAACAAAGGCAAUUGCCGUAUUCUGAAAUCUGAAUAUAUUCAUAAAGCUUUUUAACAUCGAACGCUGCAUGUGGUUUGAUGAACUGUUCGUCAAAAUUUACGAGGUUUGGUCUUUUGAAAUCCCAAUGCAAGUACUGGAAACAAAAAAAAAGGGAGGGAGUAGCAUUUUUCAAGAGGGAUCCUCGUCACAAGCGUGUGGAACGGACACACCGGCCCUUGUUUCCAAAGGCAGGCAGCCCCCACCCGUACGAACGCUGCUGCAAUCUUGUGGGCAUUCUUUCAUUCAGGUCUCGUGGGAUCAAUGAUUGAUACCACGUCUCGUGAUUCAGCAACGUGAUUCCACAGGGCCACACGCGUGGCGUUUGCGUCGAGUGAUACCCAUCCCGAUCUCCGGCCGGCCACUGCCUACUAGUGAGGACGCGACGCACCAGAGAAGAUCCAAGGCAUGUGACUGCGACCGCUCUCCGUCCUGGGCUGCCUGACGGGCCGGGACCGAUGCUGGUGACGUUUGGUGCGCCCGACUCAUGGCCCCCGGAUGCAUUUUUUUUUUCUUUCUUAUCCUACCACGUCGUGCUACUUUUGUGCUGGUCUUGUACAUGCCCAUGCGGCACGAGUCAAACUUUUCUACUAGAAAUAGACCUGGUCGUCCCUUAGUCUGAAAUCUGUAUUGUAGGGUUUGCUUUUUCUCGCACACUUCUCGGUUGUUGAGAUUGUAACUCUCUCGCGCUCUCUUCUACUCUGUUCCUGCGAUGGCCCUAAAAGUAAAAAAAAAAUGUUAUAAAAAAGUAAAAAAGAGAAGAAGAGUGAUUUUGUGGAAGCUGCAAGGUAACAGGGACAGCGACGACUGACGAGCGACGAACACGUAACAUCGUCCAUACCCACCACCAGCAGUAAAAAUCAACGGAGGGCUCGAGGCUGACGGGAUCGCUGGUGAGGCGCUCGCUCACUAGUAGAAGGCACGACUGUGAAUGGCGUGACCGCCCGGCGAUCGGGACCCGAGUUGCCGUCGCUCUCGCCCAUCCCCUGAUGUGCUAGCGGCCACUGACGGGACAAGCAGCAGCGACGGAGCUCCACUCUCUUUCUAGUCGUCACGGUUGAGGAGCUAGCGGCGACCGUACCGUGCCGCCGGCCGUUGGGCGUUGCCGUGCCGUGAUAUGACUGGUGAUCCCACGGUCCGUUUUUGACUGGGAGCUCAAGUCUUCCCAAGAUCGUCCACGCGUUUCGCUGUCAGCAGCACGCCAGCAAACGCAGGAUAAAAAGAUUCAGAGUUUCAGACAGCCUUUGCCAUCUAUUCUCAAAUCAAAACUUAGAAGAAAAUUAAUUAUUUUGUGUGGUUGCAUACCUCUGCACACCAUGAAUCCCUAGCGUUGACGUCACGCGCGUCUCAUCGAUACGGCUAGGUAUUAGUUUAGUGGUAGACACGUUGUGCUCAAAGUUUCUUUAAAGAAAAAACGUUUUGUUCAAAGAAAGAAGAAGAAGAAGAAAACGAAGAGGGGGAGAAAGCUGAAAAUGGUCGUGGACUCUGGCACUCUGCCAUUUUCCGAUCGCAUCGCUGCUCGUCUAGUUAGGAUAACGUUUUCCGACAUCCCAAAGGAUACGACAACGUUGCCUACUGAUCACUCGGCCCCACUAAAAUACUAAACUAUUAGUUCAGAUCCAGUCACUACCGUUGAAUGUUGACUGCUAUGCUGUCACAAGUUGCGUCUACAUAUACUAUAGCUUCCACGUAAGUCCAUUUCUCUGCCCUUUUUUUGCUAGCUUCAGUGGUGUGAAAAUGGUUAAGUAGCUGUAACAAAUGUACUGGCACCUCAUCAACUAGGUCAUCCGGGUCGUUCGUUGUUGGUCAGCGUUUUUUUUUUCUUUCUAGAUUUAGCGCUUACUUUGACUGUACUUCCUCUAUUCCAAAAAACAAAUCAUUCUACAAUUCAAAAUUUAUCCCAUAAAAACAAAUCAUCUUACCUUGUUUAGAAAGUGCAUGUGCAUGCAAGAUCCAAUUAGUGCUAAAUAUAAGUAAAGGGCAAAUAUGGUCAUCUUAGCUUCUUAUUAGUUUAUUCUAAAAUUUUUAGAAUAAUUAAUUUUUAGAACGGAGGCAGUAGACGUAUAUGCAUGGACGGUAGCAUUAAUUCUGCAAAUACAAUGAGAUGUGGAGGACCAUUGCCAUAGGCGGAGCCAGUGGGCUCCACGGGUAUGGCCCGGCAUACCCUAGGCCGGCCCAGCCCAACAAGCUACAUAUGUGAAAAAGAAAAAUCCAACCACCCGUCCGCUCCCGUGAGGCCGUGAGCCGUCCGCUCCCUGCUCCCGGACCUAGACCGCCCGCUCUGUCCGCCCCGGCGUCCGGCGACGCUCUGCGCCUCUCCCCCUCCCCCGGCGCGCCCCGUCCCCGGCGGCCGGCCACGGCUGCUCGGGCCCAGCCCCGCCGCCCCGGCUCCGGCUCCCGCUCGAGCCUCGGGCGCUCCCGCCAGGCGCCAGGCCGCCUCCCAUGUUCCGGCCACGGGCCACGCCGCCACGGCGCCCAGUCCGGCCCCAGCGCGGCAGCGCUUUGUGGUGAGACCGUGAGAGCUUUCCCCCCUCCAUUCUCUCCUCGUAGUUUUAGUCUUAGCAAAUUUUCCCCAAAUUCCUAACCCUAACUUUUCUUUACUGCCAUCUAAUUUAUUAGCUAGUUGUUGUUAGAUUUUACCAUGAUUUAGUUCAAUUGAUGUAGCUUUUAGAUGUAUGCGGUAGGAAUUAGGGAUGUAUUGCAUUGGUCAAUACCUAUAUUGAUGUCAUGAGACAUGAUGAUAGAUUCAGUGGUAAAGAAAACGUUGUUGACCUCUCAGUUAAGCUAGUGGAAACAAAUAGGCACAAUGUUUAUAAUUUGGUUUACUUGCUUCUCAAAAUGGUAUUGCUUCUACCGGUGGCGACGGCAAGCGUUGAGAGGGUAUUUUCUGGUAUGGAUUUUGUCAAAACCAAGCAGAGAAAUAAGAUGAGUGGUAGUCUCUUGGAGAUUGCCUUGCCACGUUCAUUUGAGAGAGACAUUUUGGAAGCUGCGGAUGAAGAUGAUGUAGUUAAGACAUUCAUGGCUACGAGAAAGUGUAGGCUUGAAAAAUAGUGUUGUGAUCUUAUUUGUUAUUUAAGCUUGUGUCGUUUAUAUUUCAAACUAUUAGUGUGCUGUUUUAAACUAUCUGGAUUGUAAUUUAAGACCUACUAUGCUAUUUACUAGUUGUGUACCGAAUUGUUGGGUAAGUUUAUGAAACUUUACUGAAU
This 15030-nucleotide long non-coding RNA is filed under the name Panicum hallii. RNAcentral describes it as "long non-coding RNA (PHAL_LNC000581)". The record is from RNAcentral. Lineage: Eukaryota; Viridiplantae; Streptophyta; Magnoliopsida; Poales; Poaceae.